GCAUCUGAGGGCAGUUUGGCUGGAACUGCAACCCUGUCCAUCCCUAGAGCUGAUGCUGUCUAUUUACCUGACUAGGCCAAGGUUCCUUUUUUUCUCUCACCACUUCAUGGGCAUCUCUCUUGAAACUGCACACUUAGUGAUGGAAGUUGGUGUUCUCUGAACUAUUUCUUAGUCAAAGAUACAAGAGUAGCUAUACUCCCAUUCCAGAACCUUCAAACAAGCUCUCGAGAGUAAGAACUGGACCCAACAUGGUGACACAGGCCUCUAAUUCCAGCACUCAGGAGAAAGGCAGACAGAUUUCUAGAAUAAGGCUAGCCUUGUCUA
This 324-nucleotide small nuclear RNA is filed under the name Mus caroli (Ryukyu mouse). RNAcentral describes it as "sRNA (MGP_CAROLIEiJ_G0008849.1)". It matches the Rfam family "7SK RNA". From Rfam's summary of the family: 7SK was discovered as an abundant small nuclear RNA in the mid-70s but a possible function has only recently been suggested. The record is from RNAcentral. Lineage: Eukaryota; Metazoa; Chordata; Mammalia; Rodentia; Muridae.